AGGAUUGAGUGUAAAGGUAGCACGGAGAGUUUUGGAUUCUCAAGGGCAGGUUCAAUUCCUGUUAUCCUAG
Molecule: transfer RNA, 70 nt
Filed under: Sigmodon hispidus (hispid cotton rat)
Lineage: Eukaryota; Metazoa; Chordata; Mammalia; Rodentia; Cricetidae
Description: tRNA-Gln
Rfam family: tRNA
About the family: Transfer RNA (tRNA) molecules are approximately 80 nucleotides in length. Their secondary structure includes four short double-helical elements and three loops (D, anti-codon, and T loops).
Source: RNAcentral